UAGAAGUCGUAUACGCAGCCC
RNAcentral lists this non-coding RNA (21 nucleotides) under Caenorhabditis elegans. The record is from RNAcentral. Lineage: Eukaryota; Metazoa; Nematoda; Chromadorea; Rhabditida; Rhabditidae.